CACAGGGCUUGAAAAAGCACUUUGGCUGUGUCGGAUAAUACCUGAUUGAAGCAUUUCCGCAACUUGCUUCUCUAUCUCAUCUUUGUGGUGAUGAGAAUAUCGAUAAGGCCUCACAUUAACCGGUCCAUAUCCUGUUGCCAAGGUGAUCUGGUGCUCUUUCUGCCUCUUUGGUGGUAAUCCCACUGGAGUAGCGAAGACAUCUUCAAACUCAGAAAGUAAACUACCCAGUUGCUGCGGUCCAUAUCCUGUUGCCAAGGUGAUCUGGUGCUCUUUCUGCCUCUUUGGUGGUAAUCCCACUGGAGUAGCGAAGACAUCUUCAAACUCAGAAAGUAAACUACCCAGUUGCCGUGUUUGCACACUGGUUAAAU
Molecule: long non-coding RNA, 368 nt
Filed under: Lotus japonicus
Lineage: Eukaryota; Viridiplantae; Streptophyta; Magnoliopsida; Fabales; Fabaceae
Description: long non-coding RNA (LJAP_LNC000664)
Source: RNAcentral